GUGAGGAAUAUUGCGCAAUGGAGGCAACUCUGACGCAGCCAUGCCGCGUGCAGGAAGAAGGCGCUACGCGUUGUAAACUGCUUUUAACCGGGAAGAAACCCCAGGACGUGUCCUGGGUUGACGGUACCGGAGGAAUAAGCACCGGCUAACUUCGUGCCAGCAGCCGCGGUAAUACGAAGGGUGCAAGCGUUAUCCGGAGUCAUUGGGUUUAAAGGGUGCGUAGGCGGAGCGUUAAGUCAGUGGUGAAAUCCUGCAGCUUAACUGUAGACUUGCCAUUGAUACUGGCGCUCUUGAGUGCGCUUGAAGUGGGCGGAAUGUGCCGUGUAGCGGUGAAAUGCUUAGAUAUGGCACAGAACACCAAUUGCGAAGGCAGCUCACUAAGGCGAUACUGACGCUGAGGCACGAAAGCGUGGGGAUCGAACAGGAUUAGAAACCCGGGUAGUCC
This 445-nucleotide ribosomal RNA is filed under the name uncultured bacterium. RNAcentral's name for it is "bacterial SSU rRNA". It matches the Rfam family "Bacterial small subunit ribosomal RNA", at positions 354 to 796 of the family's 1533-position model. The record is from RNAcentral.